Molecule: long non-coding RNA, 389 nt
Filed under: Mytilus galloprovincialis (Mediterranean mussel)
Lineage: Eukaryota; Metazoa; Mollusca; Bivalvia; Mytilida; Mytilidae
Source: RNAcentral
UGGCCUUCUAUCCUUUAACAUAAUAAUUCAAAUAGCCAUACAAAUUUGAAUGACAAACGCAAAUCUGUUUUCUGAAUGUGUCUUUCUGAUAAUAACACAAGCCGACUUUUUUAUCCCAACAUUUACCCAUCAAACUUUUAGGCUUUUCAAUGUUUCAAAUAACAACCCUGAUUGUGCUUCUUUACAAUACUGUGAAAGUACUUUUAUUUGUGGGGUACCAAUUUACGUGGUUUUCGUGGAUGACUUUAUCCACGAAUUUAAGUGUCCAACGAAAUAAAACAACCAUUGUCCAAUUCAAGACAUGGAAAGAUCCCCAUCGGUAGGUUUGACUACUGAUAUGAUCAAAGAAUACAUUGAAUAACCCAAAAUCUGAGAAUACUUUAAUAGCA